UCCGUAGGUGAACCUGCGGAGGGAUCAUUAUGCUCGCUGAUAGUCGUCGCUGACGCUAUGUUCACAACCCUUUGUUGUCCGACUCUGUUGCCUCCGGGGCGACCCUGCCUCCGGGCGGGGGCCCCGGGUGGACAUUUCAAACUCUUAUGCUCGCUCGUAGAUGUAGUAAAUUUAAUUAAUAAAUUAAAACUUUCAACAACGGAUCUCUUGGUUCUGGCAUCGAUGAAGAACGCAGCGAAAUGCGAUAAGUAAUGUGAAUUGCAGAAUUCAGUGAAUCAUCGAAUCUUUGAACGCAAUGCUCGCUGUAGAUGCUCGUGAGGGGCAUGCCUGUCCGAGCGUCAUUUCACCACUCAAGCCUCGCUUGGUAUUGGGCGACGCGGUCCGCCGCGCGCCUCAAAUCGACCGGCUGGGUCUUUCGUCCCCUCAGCGUUGUGGAAACUAUUCGCUAAAGGGUGCCGCGAUGCUCGCUGAUAGUAGAUAACCCAUGCUGUAAGGUUGACCUCGGAUCAGGUAGGGAUACCCGAUAGUGCUCAGCAUAUCAAUAAGCGGAGGA
RNAcentral lists this ribosomal RNA (553 nucleotides) under uncultured fungus. Its description in RNAcentral is "eukaryotic LSU rRNA". The stretch from base 188 to 341 matches the Rfam family "5.8S ribosomal RNA". Lineage: Eukaryota; Fungi. The record is from RNAcentral.